GUCUCCGUUGGUGAACAGCGNNNNNAUCAUUACCGAGUUUACAACUCCCAAACCCCUGUGAACAUACCACUUGUUGCCUCGGCGGAUCAGCCCGCUCCCGGUAAAACGGGACGGCCCGCCAGAGGACCCCUAAACUCUGUUUCUAUAUGUAACUUCUGAGUAAAACCAUAAAUAAAUCAAAACUUUCAACAACGGAUCUCUUGGUUCUGGCAUCGAUGAAGAACGCAGCAAAAUGCGAUAAGUAAUGUGAAUUGCAGAAUUCAGUGAAUCAUCGAAUCUUUGAACGCACAUUGCGCCCGCCAGUAUUCUGGCGGGCAUGCCUGUUCGAGCGUCAUUUCAACCCUCAAGCACAGCUUGGUGUUGGGACUCGCGUUAAUUCGCGUUCCCCAAAUUGAUUGGCGGUCACGUCGAGCUUCCAUAGCGUAGUAGUAAAACCCUCGUUACUGGUAAUCGUCGCGGCCACGCCGUUAAACCCCAACUUCUGAAUGUUGACCUCGGAUCAGGUAGGAAUACCCGCUGAACUUAAGCAUAUCA
RNAcentral lists this ribosomal RNA (534 nucleotides) under uncultured fungus. RNAcentral describes it as "eukaryotic LSU rRNA". The stretch from base 181 to 334 matches the Rfam family "5.8S ribosomal RNA". The record is from RNAcentral. Lineage: Eukaryota; Fungi.